CACACACACAUCACGAAGACACUAAAGGGCGGGCUGUCAGAAACUCGCAUUGAGAAGCGCAUCGUCAUCACGGGAGAUUCUGACAUUGAUCACGAUCAGAGCUGAAGUGCGGCUCAGAGUUCAUCCCUUCAUCCGGCGAAGGACGUGUGGAGGAGAGAAGAGCAGCUCUGAUCCUGUACAGAAAUACAUCUUCAUCUUCUGUCUUUCACAACCAGAACCACUUAGCUAACA
Molecule: long non-coding RNA, 231 nt
Organism: Sinocyclocheilus anshuiensis
Lineage: Eukaryota; Metazoa; Chordata; Actinopteri; Cypriniformes; Cyprinidae
Exons: 3
Source: RefSeq, a predicted model, not a curated record